UGCGGUUAAAAAGCUCGUAGUUGGAUCUCGGCAGGUAGGGGGCGGUUCGUUUCUGACGGCACUGCCCCAUUUACCUGUGUUUUUGACGGAGGUCUCAAGGUGGCUUUGAUCGGCUGUCUUGGUACGCCGUCAGGUUUACUUUGAAAAAAUUAGAGUGCUCAAAGCAGGCUACAAAGCUUGAAUAUUUGUGCAUGGAAUAAUGGAAUAGGAAGUCGUUUCUAUUUUUUUUGGUUUUCGGAAAUUGACUUAAUGAUUAAUAGGGACAGCCGGGGGCAUUAGUACUCAGACGACAGAGGUGAAAUUCUUGGACCGUUUGAGGACUAACUACUGCGAAAGCAUUUGCCAAGAGUGUUUUCAUUAAUCAAGAACGAAAGUUAGAGGUUCGAAGGCGAUCAGAUACCGCCCUAGUUCUAACCAUAAACGAUGCUGACUAGCGAUCCGUAGCUGUUUUCUAUGUAGGCUCUACGGGAAGCUUCCGGGAAACCAAAGUUUUUGAGUUCCGGGGGAAGUAUGGUUGCAAAGCUGAAACUUAAAGGAAUUGACGGAAGGGCACCACCAGGAGUGGAGCCUGCGGCUUAAUUUGACUCAACACGGGAAAUCUCACCAGGCCCGGACACUGGAAGGAUUGACAGAUUGAGAGCUCUUUCUCGAUUCAGUGGGUGGUGGUGCAUGCCCGUUCUUAGU
Molecule: ribosomal RNA, 684 nt
Filed under: uncultured marine eukaryote
Lineage: Eukaryota
Description: SSU rRNA
Rfam family: Eukaryotic small subunit ribosomal RNA
Source: RNAcentral